Molecule: ribosomal RNA, 467 nt
Filed under: uncultured bacterium
Lineage: Bacteria
Description: partial 16S ribosomal RNA
Rfam family: Bacterial small subunit ribosomal RNA
Source: RNAcentral
GACGAACGCUGGCGGCGUGCUUAACACAUGCAAGUCGAACGGAAAGGCCCUGCUUUUGUGGGGUGCUCGAGUGGCGAACGGGUGAGUAACACGUGAGUAACCUGCCCUUGACUUUGGGAUAACUUCAGGAAACUGGGGCUAAUACCGGAUAGGAGCUCCUGCUGCAUGGUGGGGGUUGGAAAGUUUCGGCGGUUGGGGAUGGACUCGCGGCUUAUCAGCUUGUUGGUGGGGUAGUGGCUUACCAAGGCUUUGACGGGUAGCCGGCCUGAGAGGGUGACCGGCCACAUUGGGACUGAGAUACGGCCCAGACUCCUACGGGAGGCAGCAGUGGGGAAUAUUGCACAAUGGGCGGAAGCCUGAUGCAUCAACGCCGCGUGCGGGAUGACGGCCUUCGGGUUGUAAACCGCUUUCGCCUGUGACGAAGCGUGAGUGACGGUAAUGGGUAAAGAAGCACCGGCUAACUACGU